RNAcentral lists this ribosomal RNA (433 nucleotides) under uncultured bacterium. RNAcentral's name for it is "partial 16S ribosomal RNA". It matches the Rfam family "Bacterial small subunit ribosomal RNA", at positions 29 to 507 of the family's 1533-position model. The record is from RNAcentral.
AGCGAACGCUGGCGGCAGGCCUAACACAUGCAAGUCGAACGAACUCUUCGGAGUUAGUGGCGGACGGGUGAGUAACAUGUGGGAACGUGCCUUUAGGCUCGGAAUAACUCAGGGAAACUUGUGCUAAUACCGAAUGUGUCCUUCUGGGGAAAGAUUUAUCGCCUUUAGAGCGGCCCGCGUCUGAUUAGCUAGUUGGUGAGGUAAAGGCUCACCAAGGCGACGAUCAGUAGCUGGUCUGAGAGGAUGAUCAGCCACAUUGGGACGGAGAAACGGCCCAAACUCCUACGGGAGGCAGCAGUGGGGAAUCUUGCGCAAUGGGCGAAAGCAUGACGGAGCCAUGCCGCGUGAAUGAUGAAGGUCUUAGGAAUGAAAAAUUCUUUCACCGGGGACGAUAAUGACGGUACCCGGAGAAGAAGCCCCGGCUAACUUCGUG